RNAcentral lists this ribosomal RNA (253 nucleotides) under uncultured bacterium. Its description in RNAcentral is "partial 16S ribosomal RNA". It matches the Rfam family "Bacterial small subunit ribosomal RNA", at positions 524 to 776 of the family's 1533-position model. The record is from RNAcentral.
UACGUAGGUGGCAAGCGUUGUCCGGAAUGAUUGGGCGUAAAGCGCGCGCAGGCGGUUUCUUAAGUCUGAUGUGAAAUCUCGCGGCUCAACCGUGAGUGGUCAUUGGAAACUGGGGAACUUGAGUGCAGAAGAGAAGAGCGGAAUUCCACGUGUAGCGGUGAAAUGCGUAGAGAUGUGGAGGAACACCAGUGGCGAAGGCGGCUCUUUGGUCUGUAACUGACGCUGAGGUGCGAAAGCGUGGGGAGCGAACAGG